AUACGUAGGGAGCGAGCGUUGUCCGGAAUUACUGGGCGUAAAGGGCGCGUAGGCGGCGCUUCAAGUCGUCUGUCAAAUGAGAGGGCUUGACCCUUUUUCGCAGACGAAACUGGAGAGCUUGAGAAGCAGAGAGGCAAACAGAAUUCCUGGUGUAGCGGUGAAAUGCGUAGAUAUCAGGAAGAAUACCAGUGGCGAAGGCGGUUUGCUGGCUGCAUACUGACGCUGAAGCGCGAAAGCCAGGGGAGCGAACGGGAUUAGAUACCCCGGUAGUCCUGGCAGUAAACGAUGUAUGCUGGGUGUGAGACUAGCGAUAGUUUCGUGCCGAAGUUAACGCGAUAAGCAUACCGCCUGGGGGGUACGGUCGCAAGAUUGAAACUCAAAUGAAUUGGCGGGG
This 394-nucleotide ribosomal RNA is filed under the name uncultured bacterium. Its description in RNAcentral is "partial 16S ribosomal RNA". It matches the Rfam family "Bacterial small subunit ribosomal RNA", at positions 523 to 918 of the family's 1533-position model. The record is from RNAcentral.